ACCUGGCUAACUCAGUGGGAGGAGCAUGUGACUCUUAAUCUCAGGAUUAUGGGUUUGAGUCCCACGUUGGGUG
RNAcentral lists this transfer RNA (73 nucleotides) under Felis catus (domestic cat). It matches the Rfam family "tRNA". Rfam says of the family: Transfer RNA (tRNA) molecules are approximately 80 nucleotides in length. Their secondary structure includes four short double-helical elements and three loops (D, anti-codon, and T loops). The record is from Rfam by way of RNAcentral. Lineage: Eukaryota; Metazoa; Chordata; Mammalia; Carnivora; Felidae. RNAcentral also lists the same sequence under 2 other names.